GGCAGGCGAGGGGCCGCACGCAUCCCCCACAGCCACCAAGAGGGCAUCCCUGCAGAGAAAUCAUAUCCGACAUGCCUGUGCCCACACCAGACUUAAGACUGCCUCUAAAAUGUCCAUGAAGCCAUUUUCCAGUAGAGCUGUUAGUUUUAACACCAGUUCAUAGGUGGCAGGGACUUGCCUUGUCUCAGAUGAGACUUUGGACUGUGGAUUUCUAAGUUAAUGCUGAAAUGAGUUAAGACUUUCGGGGACUGCUGGGAAGUCUCAGGUAUGUCUUUAUCAGCAGCAUGAAAACAGACUAAUAUAGCACCUCUGCUGACAGCUAUAGGACCAAGGACUGUAGACCCAAAUGCAGCAGUCACACAUAUUUUCCUGUCUUGAAGAUUUUCUUUAAUAAAGCUGCAAGUUUUGGGGAAAAGUAUGUGUGAUGACUGGGAACUGAUUCCCGAAGGCUAGCUGCAAACCAUGACUGGGAAAGAAGCAGGAUGUGCCCAGACUUUGCAGUGGCUGCUGUCCACUAGAACAUUCAGGUUCAGAAGGGUCUUAGGGGUCCCCGAGCCUGCUGAAAGAUGAAGCCCAGUCCUGGCUCCACUCAACUUACCACACCCAUGUUUCAUUGCUCCCCAAAGCACUCACAACUCUAGUAUUUUGCUUCUGUAUUUGCUUCUUAUUUGUCCCCUGUCACUAGGAUGAAAUAUUCCAGAGAACAAUGGUUUUCUCUGUCUUAUUCACUGUUGUAAAUAGUGCCUGGCACAUAGUAGGCACUGAAUAAAUAUUUGUUGAAUCAAUGCAUGAAUGA
RNAcentral lists this long non-coding RNA (796 nucleotides) under Pongo abelii (Sumatran orangutan). RNAcentral describes it as "lincRNA". Lineage: Eukaryota; Metazoa; Chordata; Mammalia; Primates; Hominidae. The record is from RNAcentral.